This 314-nucleotide unclassified non-coding RNA is filed under the name Hypholoma fasciculare. Its description in RNAcentral is "partial internal transcribed spacer region". The stretch from base 1 to 46 matches the Rfam family "Eukaryotic small subunit ribosomal RNA", at positions 1786 to 1831 of the family's 1831-position model. Lineage: Eukaryota; Fungi; Basidiomycota; Agaricomycetes; Agaricales; Strophariaceae. The record is from RNAcentral.
AAGUCGUAACAAGGUUUCCGUAGGUGAACCUGCGGAAGGAUCAUUAUUGAAUAAACCUGGCUUGGUUGAUGCUGGUCUUUUCGGAGACAUGUGCACGCCUUGUCAUCUUUAUAUCUCCACCUGUGCACUUUUUGUAGACCUGGAUUCAACUUUCCGAGGAAACUCGGUUGUGAGGAAUUGCUUAAUGGGCUUUCCUUGUUAGUUUCCAGGGCUAUGUUUUCAUAUACACCUUAUGAAUGUAACAGAAUGUCAUUAUUAGGCUUAAUUGCCUUAUAAACUAUAUACAACUUUCAGCAACGGAUCUCUUGGCUCUC